This 433-nucleotide ribosomal RNA is filed under the name uncultured bacterium. RNAcentral describes it as "partial 16S ribosomal RNA". It matches the Rfam family "Bacterial small subunit ribosomal RNA", at positions 29 to 507 of the family's 1533-position model. The record is from RNAcentral.
AACGAACGCUGGCGGCAUGCCUAACACAUGCAAGUCGAACGAGACCUUCGGGUCUAGUGGCGCACGGGUGCGUAACGCGUGGGAACCUGCCCUUAGGUUCGGAAUAACUCCCCGAAAGGGGUGCUAAUACCGGAUAAUGUCUUCGGACCAAAGAUUUAUCGCCUUUGGAUGGGCCCGCGUUGGAUUAGCUAGUUGGUAGGGUAAAAGCCUACCAAGGCGACGAUCCAUAGCUGGUCUGAGAGGAUGAUCAGCCACACUGGGACUGAGACACGGCCCAGACUCCUACGGGAGGCAGCAGUGGGGAAUAUUGGACAAUGGGCGAAAGCCUGAUCCAGCAAUGCCGCGUAAGUGAUGAAGGCCUUAAGGUUGUAAAGCUCGUUUACCCGGGAUGAUAAUGACAGUACCGGGAGAAUAAGCUCCGGCUAACUCCGUG